Molecule: ribosomal RNA, 467 nt
Filed under: uncultured bacterium
Lineage: Bacteria
Description: partial 16S ribosomal RNA
Rfam family: Bacterial small subunit ribosomal RNA
Source: RNAcentral
GAUGAACGCUGGCGGCGCGCCUAACACAUGCAAGUCGAACGAUUAAAGCACCUUCGGGUGUGUAUAAAGUGGCGAACGGCUGAGUAACACGUGGGCAACCUGCCCCUUUCAUUGGGAUAGCCACGGGAAACCGUGGAUAAUACCGAAUACUUCGAGACUUCCGCAUGGAAGACUCGAGAAAGCUCCGGCGGAGAGGGAUGGGCCCGCGGCCUGUUAGCUUGUUGGUGGGGUAACGGCCUACCAAGGCAAUGAUGGGUAGCUGGGUUGAGAGACCGGCCAGCCAGAUUGGGACUGAGACACGGCCCAGACUCCUACGGGAGGCAGCAGUGGGGAAUCUUGCACAAUGGGCGAAAGCCUGAUGCAGCGACGCCGCGUGCGGGAUGAAGGCCUUCGGGUUGUAAACCGCUUUCAGCAGGGACGAGGCGAAAGUGACGGUACCUGCAGAAGAAGCCCCGGCUAACUACGUG